RNAcentral lists this ribosomal RNA (253 nucleotides) under uncultured bacterium. RNAcentral's name for it is "partial 16S ribosomal RNA". It matches the Rfam family "Bacterial small subunit ribosomal RNA", at positions 524 to 776 of the family's 1533-position model. The record is from RNAcentral.
UACGGAGGGGGCUAGCGUUGUUCGGAAUUACUGGGCGUAAAGCGCACGUAGGCGGCUUUGUAAGUUAGAGGUGAAAGCCCGGGGCUCAACCCCGGAAUUGCCUUUGAGACUGCAUCGCUAGAAUUGUGGAGAGGUAAGUGGAAUUCCGAGUGUAGAGGUGAAAUUCGUAGAUAUUCGGAAGAACACCAGUGGCGAAGGCGACUUACUGGACGCAAAUUGACGCUGAGGUGCGAAAGCGUGGGGAGCAAACAGG